Molecule: ribosomal RNA, 400 nt
Filed under: uncultured bacterium
Lineage: Bacteria
Description: partial 16S ribosomal RNA
Rfam family: Bacterial small subunit ribosomal RNA
Source: RNAcentral
UCGGGAAUAUUGGGCAAUGGGCGAAAGCCUGACCCAGCAACGCCGCGUGCGCGAUGAAGGCCUUCGGGUCGUAAAGCGCUUUUCGGGAGGAUGAGGAAGGACAGUACUCCCGGAAUAAGUCACGGCUAACUACGUGCCAGCAGCCGCGGUAAAACGUAGGUGGCAAGCGUUAUCCGGAUUCACUGGGCGUAAAGCGCGUGCAGGCGGCCCGGCAAGUCGGGCAUGAAAUCUCUUGGCUCAACCAAGAGAAGCUGUCCGAUACUUUCGGGCUUGAGGAUGGUAGAGGGUGGUGGAAUUCCGGGUGUAGUGGUGAAAUGCGUAGAUAUCCGGAGGAACACCAGUGGCGAAAGCGGCCACCUGGACCAUUUCUGACGCUAAAACGCGAAAGCUAGGGGAGCGA